This 515-nucleotide ribosomal RNA is filed under the name uncultured bacterium. RNAcentral describes it as "partial 16S ribosomal RNA". It matches the Rfam family "Bacterial small subunit ribosomal RNA", at positions 355 to 863 of the family's 1533-position model. The record is from RNAcentral.
UGGGGAAUUUUGGACAAUGGGCGCAAGCCUGAUCCAACCAUGCCGCGUGCGGGAAGAAGGCCUUCGGGUUGUAAACCGCUUUUGUCAGGGAAGAAAUCUUCUGAGUUAAUACCUCGGGAGGAUGACGGUACCUGAAGAAUAAGCACCGGCUAACUACGUGCCAGCAGCCGCGGUAAUACGUAGGGUGCAAGCGUUAAUCGGAAUUACUGGGCGUAAAGCGUGCGCAGGCGGUUUUGUAAGACAGAGGUGAAAUCCCCGGGCUCAACCUGGGAACUGCCUUUGUGACUGCAAGGCUUGAGUGCGGCAGAGGGGGAUGGAAUUCCGCGUGUAGCAGUGAAAUGCGUAGAUAUGCGGAGGAACACCGAUGGCGAAGGCAAUCCCCUGGGCCUGCACUGACGCUCAUGCACGAAAGCGUGGGGAGCAAACAGGAUUAGAUACCCUGGUAGUCCACGCCCUAAACGAUGUCAACUGGUUGUUGGGAAGGUUCCUUCUCAGUAACGUAGCUAACGCGUGAA